Molecule: long non-coding RNA, 613 nt
Filed under: Homo sapiens (human)
Lineage: Eukaryota; Metazoa; Chordata; Mammalia; Primates; Hominidae
Description: HSALNT0300454
Source: RNAcentral
ACCAACCCAUCCACCCAGCCAUCCAUCCACCCAUCCAUGCAUCCACCUGUCUAUGCAUCCACCCACCCAUCCAUUCACCCACCCAUCCCCUCACCCACUCAUCCAUACAUCCAUCCAUCCAUCCAUCCACCCACCCACCCACCCAUCCAUCCACCCACCCCUCCCAUCCAUGCAUGUCUCCUAUCAGUUCUGUUCCUGGAGAACCCUGACUAAUGUAGUGGUCACUCCCAUCUGUUUCUGUUGGACUCUGUCCCCAUCAUAAGUGAGCCCUCCCCACAACAAGCACUCUUGAUUUAACCUUUGCCAGUCCCAGUUAAAUGUUUAUAAAAUUCAAGCCGUUCACUGGCUGUUCUUCCAGGUGAGGCAGUGUUGCCAAAGGCACCGUCUUGCCUCUUUGUAGCAAGCUAGAUCUGCCCAGGGCACCUGGCCUCCAUCUCGCACCCCACCUGGUUCCCCCAUCAAGGCUUGGUGGCUCUGGGUGCAUGGAGAGUUUUACUAUGAAAUAGCUCUAGCAGUGCCAUUGACUCAGAAGGCACUUGGCAAACAGACUCACCAUUUCUAUUAAAAGAGACAUGGAGUCUUAAAAAAUAUUAAAAUGACUAAAAUCAACAAA